This 253-nucleotide ribosomal RNA is filed under the name uncultured bacterium. RNAcentral's name for it is "partial 16S ribosomal RNA". It matches the Rfam family "Bacterial small subunit ribosomal RNA", at positions 524 to 776 of the family's 1533-position model. The record is from RNAcentral.
UACGAAGGGGGCUAGCGUUGCUCGGAAUCACUGGGCGUAAAGCGCACGUAGGCGGAUCUUUAAGUCAGGGGUGAAAUCCCAAGGCUCAACCUUGGAACUGCCUUUGAUACUGGGGAUCUCGAGUCCGGAAGAGGCGAGUGGAACUGCGAGUGUAGAGGUGAAAUUCGUAGAUAUUCGCAAGAACACCAGUGGCGAAGGCGGCUCACUGGUCCGGUACUGACGCUGAGGUGCGAAAGCGUGGGGAGCAAACAGG